Molecule: ribosomal RNA, 253 nt
Filed under: uncultured bacterium
Lineage: Bacteria
Description: partial 16S ribosomal RNA
Rfam family: Bacterial small subunit ribosomal RNA
Source: RNAcentral
UACGGAGGGUGCAAGCGUUAAUCGGAAUUACUGGGCGUAAAGCGCCCGUAGGCGGCUUUUUAAGUCUGUUGUGAAAGCCCCGGGCUCAACCUGGGAACUGCAUCUGAAACUGGCAAGCUUGAGUGUGGUAGAGGGGGGUAGAAUUCCCGGUGUAGCGGUGAAAUGCGUAGAGAUCGGGAGGAAUACCAGUGGCGAAGGCGGCCUCCUGGACGAAGACUGACGCUCAGGUGCGAAAGCGUGGGGAGCAAACAGG